ACUACGGGGUGCUGCAGUGAGGAAUAUUGGUCAAUGGGCGCGAGCCUGAACCAGCCAAGUAGCGUGAAGGAUGACUGCCCUACGGGUUGUAAACUUCUUUUAUAAAGGAAUAAAGUGAGGCACGUGUGCCUUUUUGUAUGUACUUUAUGAAUAAGGAUCGGCUAACUCCGUGCCAGCAGCCGAGGUAAUACGGGGGAUCCGAGCGUUAUCCGGAUUUAUUGGGUUUAAAGGGAGCGUAGAUGGGUUGUAAAGUCAGUUGUGACAGUUUGCGGCUCAACCGUAAAAUUGCACUUGAUACUGGCAGUCUUGAGUACAGUUGAGGUAGGCGGAAUUCGUGGUGUAGCGGUGAAAUGCUUAGAUAUCACGAAGAACUCCGAUUGCGAAGGCAGCUUACUAAACUGCCACUGACAUUGAUGCUCGAAAGUGUGGGUAUCAAACAGGAUUAGAUACCCCAGUAGUC
RNAcentral lists this ribosomal RNA (460 nucleotides) under uncultured bacterium. RNAcentral describes it as "partial 16S ribosomal RNA". It matches the Rfam family "Bacterial small subunit ribosomal RNA", at positions 338 to 795 of the family's 1533-position model. The record is from RNAcentral.